CUGAGGGGCUUCGGCCCCGUCAAGAUACCACCCUUGCAUUUUGAGCACCUUUGUUUCCUCGGCGGGCUCGCCCGCCAAUGGGGACCACACCAAACCCUCUGUAGUUGCAGUAAACGUCUACAAACAAAUAAUCA
Molecule: unclassified non-coding RNA, 134 nt
Filed under: uncultured Lophiostoma
Lineage: Eukaryota; Fungi; Ascomycota; Dothideomycetes; Pleosporales; Lophiostomataceae
Description: sequence contains ITS1
Source: RNAcentral